Solanum lycopersicum (tomato) is the source of this 2012-nucleotide non-coding RNA. The record is from RefSeq and is a predicted model, not a curated record. Lineage: Eukaryota; Viridiplantae; Streptophyta; Magnoliopsida; Solanales; Solanaceae.
CCUAAACUUAAAAGUUGGUCGAAUUUCAAUUACUGAAAUGCAAAUACUCUAGUUAAAGAAAAAAUAUUUUUACCACACCCUCUAUCAUUACUGAUUCUAGCUUUAUAAAUAUGUUUCCAGCUGCACAACUUCCCUCACAUUAUUCUCUCUCUCUCUCUCUCCCUUCCCUCUCCCUUUAUGCAUAUAUAUAUCAACUAGUGAGUUUUCACGUUUGUACCUAAACAAAGGCAUGAUAAAAUCAAAAAUAGUGACUCAGAAGCUUUAUGUAAUAUCCCAUAUUUUUAAACAAGGACAUAUUAGUCAUUAGCCAAAUAAAUAAUCAAUGAGUAAGAAAGAGGAAAGGAGACCAAAGAAUUUUUUUAAAAGAAAAAGGGAGUGGACCUUAGCCCAAUUGCACGUACAUAAAGGGGCUUUAGUUAAUAGCUGAACCUUUGCAUACUUCUCCUUUACGCGAAGCUACUGUUUCAUUCCAGCGACCGAGCGAAGAAGGAAAAUAGGUAAAGCUCGGAUUUUAAUUGAUAAGAGAAGUGGACGAAGAAGGUAAGUUUCUAAACAUAGUUUAAAGAUUGGGUUUUCAUACUUCGUGGCUAUAUAAAUUUAAGGAUUGAGAAUUUGAGAAACAUGAGUUUAGAAGAGAUAGAUGAACCUGUUAAACUCUUAUGAUUUGAGUGAGUACUUUAAAGAUUUGGAUUAAACUUUUUCUAGUUCGGCAUAAAUCGAAUAAGAAUUGUUGGACGACAAUGAAGUUAGCUAUUUAUUAUAGGGUGAAGUAGGUUAUCAUUAUUGUGAUUGUUUGCGGGAUGAGAAACACCAAUUUGAUAUAAAUUUACAGAUUGUGAGUCUACCACGAAACCUCGUAGGUAUUCUGAAUUUAGUUUGAAUUAUCCUAGACGAAUUAAGUAAUAUAAUAUUGAUGUGAUUAUAGAUUGAUUGAGGAAGACUUAUGGAUUUCUUGAGGCGACAAGUUUGGUAUCUCAACACGAGUACUAUGAGUAGUAAUUUUACCACAAUUUGUAUUUCAGAAAUUUUAUGAUUUUUACAUUUACUUUAUAAAUCAUGAAAUUUGUGGAAAUACAAAUUGUGGUAAGAUUACUACUCACAAUACUCGUGUUGACAUACCAAACUUGUCGCCUCAAAAAAUCUAUAAGUCUUCCCCAAUCAAUUUAUAAUCACAUCAUAAUAAUAUCAUAAUACUUCCAUCAUUUAGGAUAAUUCAAAACUUAAUUCGGAUUACCUAAUCCUCGAGGUUUCGUGCUAGACUCUCAAUCUGUCAAUUUAUAUCAAAUUGGUGUUUCAAAUCCCGCAAAACAGUCUCAUUAAUGAUUACCUACUUUACUCUAUAAUAAACAGAAUUAACUUCAUUGUCGUCCAACAAUUCUUAUUCGGUUUAUGUCGACCUACAAAUGUUUAGUCCAAAAUCUUUAAAGUUACUCACUCAAAUCAUAAGAGUUUAACAAGUUCAUCUAUCUAUUCUAAACUCAUGUACCUCAAAUUCUCAAUCCUUAUAUUUAUAUAGCCACAAAAUAUUCAAAUUCAAUCUUUAAACUAAGUUUAGAAAUUUACCUUCUGCUUCUGCUUCUCUCAUCAAUUAAAAUCCAAGCUUUGCCAAUUUUCCUUUUUUGCUCCGUCGCUAGAAUGAAACAGUAGCUUCGCCUAAAGGAGAAGUAUGCAAAAGCUCAGCUGUUAGUUGAAGCCCCUUUAUGGUUAUUAAUUCACAAAUAAACACAGAUUCAGAUUUGAAUUUGGUGAAAAGAAUUGGAAAAAAAAACAUAGCAGACGAAGAAGAAAGAGAGAGUCAAAGAAAAAGGUUGCGAAAUUGUAUUCAUAUCAGAAUAAUAUUCAUAUUAAUUUUUAUUUGUCAAUUAUUUUUCUUUUACUCAUCAUUUGUAUUUUAUUAAGAAUAUCGUGUUUCUUUUUUAUUUGUAGUCAUUCAAAUAGGUAUCUUAUAUGAAUUUGUAUUUCUAAGCAUAGAUGUAUCCUAUUUUUUAACAAUCAAUCUAUAUUUUUUUCAA